UCGUGCUAGACGGGGAGUUAGCGGCUCCCUGUAGCCCGAAAUCCGCUUUAGCGGGGUUGAAUCCCCUUCUGGAGGGCCUGAGCCGUACUGGUCGUAUUUAAUUCCGGUACCGGUUGGACACCACGCAACAGACGAACGCGAACCCCGUCAGGUCCGGAAGGAAGCAGCGGUAAGUGUCUCCGGCUGUGUCGCGGUCUCAUCUAACUUGGUUGCCGGAAGGCGUACAAUCGGUUUCGGCCGGUUCGACGGAGGGUGCACGG
This 260-nucleotide signal recognition particle RNA is filed under the name Syntrophobacteraceae bacterium. RNAcentral's name for it is "signal recognition particle sRNA large type". It matches the Rfam family "Bacterial large signal recognition particle RNA". From Rfam's summary of the family: The signal recognition particle (SRP) is a universally conserved ribonucleoprotein involved in the co-translational targeting of proteins to membranes. Archaeal SRP consists of a 7S RNA and homologues of the eukaryotic SRP19 and SRP54 proteins. Lineage: Bacteria; Pseudomonadati; Thermodesulfobacteriota; Syntrophobacteria; Syntrophobacterales; Syntrophobacteraceae. The record is from RNAcentral.